This 466-nucleotide ribosomal RNA is filed under the name uncultured bacterium. Its description in RNAcentral is "partial 16S ribosomal RNA". It matches the Rfam family "Bacterial small subunit ribosomal RNA", at positions 28 to 507 of the family's 1533-position model. The record is from RNAcentral.
GACGAACGCUGGCGGCGCGCCUAACACAUGCAAGUCGAACGAGCGAGCGAGAGCUUGCUUUCUCAAGCGAGUGGCGAACGGGUGAGUAACGCGUGAGGAACCUGCCUCAAAGAGGGGGACAACAGUUGGAAACGACUGCUAAUACCGCAUAAGCCCACGACCCGGCAUCGGGUAGAGGGAAAAGGAGCAAUCCGCUUUGAGAUGGCCUCGCGUCCGAUUAGCUAGUUGGUGAGGUAACGGCCCACCAAGGCGACGAUCGGUAGCCGGACUGAGAGGUUGAACGGCCACAUUGGGACUGAGACACGGCCCAGACUCCUACGGGAGGCAGCAGUGGGGAAUAUUGCACAAUGGGGGAAACCCUGAUGCAGCGACGCCGCGUGGAGGAAGAAGGUCUUCGGAUUGUAAACUCCUGUUGUUGAGGAAGAUAAUGACGGUACUCAACAAGGAAGUGACGGCUAACUACGUG